CGGCUAACGUGGGGCGACGAGCGGGGGUAAUAAGAGGGUGUUGAGGGUUAAUCGGGAGUGUGGGUGGUAAAGCGGCCGGAGGGUGUGUUUGAAGUCAGCUGUGAAAGCCCCGGGCUGAACCUGGGAGUUGCAUUUGAAACUGGGGAACUAGAGUGUGUGAGAGGGGGGUAGAAUUCCAAGUGUAGCGGUGAAAUGCGUAGAGAUUUGGAGGAAUACCAGUGGCGAAGGCGGCCCCCUGGCACAACACUGACGCUCAGGUGCGAAAGCGUGGGGAGCAAACAGGAUUAGAUACCCGUAGUC
RNAcentral lists this ribosomal RNA (300 nucleotides) under uncultured Prosthecobacter sp. RNAcentral's name for it is "bacterial SSU rRNA". It matches the Rfam family "Bacterial small subunit ribosomal RNA", at positions 494 to 795 of the family's 1533-position model. The record is from RNAcentral. Lineage: Bacteria; Pseudomonadati; Verrucomicrobiota; Verrucomicrobiia; Verrucomicrobiales; Verrucomicrobiaceae.